Molecule: ribosomal RNA, 253 nt
Filed under: uncultured bacterium
Lineage: Bacteria
Description: partial 16S ribosomal RNA
Rfam family: Bacterial small subunit ribosomal RNA
Source: RNAcentral
UACGUAGGGGGCAAGCGUUGUCCGGAUUUAUUGGGCGUAAAGAGCGUGUAGGCGGCUAGGUAGGUCCGUUGUGAAAACUCGAGGCUCAACCUCGAGACGCCGAUGGAAACCAUCUAGCUAGAGUCCGGAAGAGGAGAGUGGAAUUCCUGGUGUAGCGGUGAAAUUCGUAGAUAUUGGGAAGAACACCGGUGGCGAAGGCGGCCAUCUGGACCGCAACUGACGCUGAGGCGCGAAAGCGUGGGGAGCAAACAGG